Molecule: small nuclear RNA, 126 nt
Filed under: Canis lupus familiaris (dog)
Lineage: Eukaryota; Metazoa; Chordata; Mammalia; Carnivora; Canidae
Description: U4 spliceosomal RNA (multiple genes)
Rfam family: U4 spliceosomal RNA
About the family: U4 small nuclear RNA (U4 snRNA) is a component of the major U2-dependent spliceosome.
Source: RNAcentral
AGCUUUGCACAGUGGCAGUAUAGUAGCCAAUGAGGUUUAUCCGAGGCGCAAUUAUUGCUAAUUAAAAACUUCUCCUAAUUGUGUUUUGUUCUGAAUAUUAACUUGUUUUAGAACUUGAAAGGAUAG